RNAcentral lists this long non-coding RNA (2137 nucleotides) under Medicago truncatula (barrel medic). Its description in RNAcentral is "long non-coding RNA (MTRU_LNC000282)". Lineage: Eukaryota; Viridiplantae; Streptophyta; Magnoliopsida; Fabales; Fabaceae. The record is from RNAcentral.
GUGUUUUUAAUCAAAGGAUUGAACACCGUACUAAUUUGUUGUGUUAACAUAUUAACCAUUUCAUGAUUGCUUUCAUCCAUCCGUUUUCUUAAAGAAUUUAAAGAAUCUGCUGCGAAAGAUGGUAGAGCAUUUCGACCAGGCAUGUUUGAUCCUGAAGGCAAAUGUGUAUCAUAUGGGUAAACACAUUAUCAUUGUCUACAUAUGUGGAUACAUUGGUUUGUAUGCCAGCUAUCCUUGUUGUUGGCAUGCCAUAAGGAUACUCCAUUGUGACCAUGGGCAUAGUGAAUUGUUCCAUGGAAAGCAAUAUAUUUUCCAACGAAAUUCAAAUUUGAUGAUUAGUGUCUCUAGACGUCAAAGGGAAAGUUACUGGUGGUGGCACGGAAGCCACCAGAUUUGAUUAUGUCAUUGCAGCUGUUGUCGAAAUAGACACGGGGGCAAUUACACCCAUAAUGGUCGAAACUGGCAUGGGAGUAGUUACUCCAAUAGUAGUUGACACAUUAUCAUUCAAUGUAGGAGUGGAUGCUUAGGUAGAUUGUGGAUGUGAAGAUUAAGUGUUACUUUGUGUAGAUGAUGCAGAAGUACCACUAGUACGGGACGAGCAAUUUCAUUAAGGGCUUUGUCACUUCUUAAAUACAUGAGGAAAAUAACUAGCAGACUAAUGGCUAAAAACUAAAUCCUUUCGACAUCUUUGGCAUCCUUUCCACGUGUAUGGACAUUUAAUCUUGCCUCUUCAGAGAAUUUGAAUCUUGUAUUGUCGAAAAUACACCCUUGUCGAAUCCCAUUUUUGUCGAAAUCAUCAAACUUCUGUUUUGGACUUAGAGAAUUCUGCAGUCUUAGCUUCCACCUUACCUGUCUAAACAAACACUUUGACAAUACAGUCUAACAAUUAUGACAUACAUAUACAUAUACAUACGGGGGUUGCUAACUUACUCUCAUCCAAAAUCAUGAAGGAGUAAGUUAGCAAGUCUACUCCCUACGAGUAUGUUAGCAAUGCCUACUCCCACUUGUUUUUGACCAAAAAACCUUUCAUACUCACACUCAAAAACAUGAAGGAGUAAGUUAGCAAGUUUUCUCUCACUUUGGGAGUAAGUUAGCAAAUCUACUCUCAAUUUAGGAGUAAGUUAACAAGUCUAUUCCCACUUUAAGAGUAUGUUAGCAAGCCUACUCCUGUUUAAUUUUAGAUAGAUUGAAUUGAUUUUUCAAUAAUAAUAUGUGUGAGAGUUGGUUUGAUAACUUACUCCCAAGUGAGGCUUUAUACAUAUACAUAUAUAUAUAUAUAUAUAUAUAUAUAUAUAUAUAUAUAUAUAUAUAUAUAUAUAUAUAUAUAUAUAUAUAUAUAUAUAUAUAUGUAAUCAUAGGCUUAGAAUUUACAAAGCUAUUUUUAAACUUAAUUGUUAAAGCUAUUAUGAUAAGAGGUAUGGUAGAAGAGAAAAUGUAAUACGCCCAUGGAGAUACAACUAAAACAAAAAGAAAAAGAUAAUCUAAAUAAUAUGCAUUGUUGUCUUAUUUAAUUAUCAUCAUUUUACAAUACAAUGAUAAUCUAAGUAUAUGCAUUGUUGUAUAUACUUUCUUAGGUCUAGCACCAAAUGAAGGAUUUCAUAUGAGCACAUAAUAUUUUUCAUUUUUCCCACCGGCCGCACCUUAGUGGAAUGCAUCUACACAAUCCACCCACACACUUUGGUAUUUGAUAAACCUUGCACAUGUUACGUGGACAAUUACCAUCAAUAAAACAUGGAUAAAACUCUCUAAUAAAGAAAUAGAAUGGAAUUUGUUUACGUUUGAAGUUUGUUGCAACCAUAAAUUCGGAAAGAAAGAUAAUCAUACCACAAACAAAAUUGACAAUUGUAGUCAUGUUUCCCUCCUUUUUUUUUUUGUAAUAAAUGUAACUUUAUAAUUUCUAAUGCUCAUUUUUCGCUUAAAUCAAAUAAAUAGUUAUUUUCUCUUAUGAAGUUGUAAAAAAUUAUUCUUAAUAUUAUAAUUAUUACAAUAUGUUCCUUAAGUACAUCAAUGUGUCAUAUUUGUCCCUUUAGCAUAACAAAAAGAUAUGUCACAAUUUUUUUUUAUUCUUAAUAUUUUAAUUAUUACAAAAUAUCUAUUAAGUACAUUUGAUCUCUUCGAGAACAUAUCUUAUAGGUGA